UAAAUGUUCAAUUUUUAAAUUGAAUUUGUGAAUUCUGUUUUUGAGCUAGGAUGCUUAUUCGAUUUUUUGGAUCUGGUCAAAUUCAUAUUAAAUGUUGCCCUUCACAUUUUUAUCAGUGUAAAAGCGUUAGAUCUUGUUUAAUUUAGCACUGUUGAGAUGUAGGUUGUCUCUUUGGUAUUUGAACAUUAAGCAUGUACAUCUUAAGGAGCACUAAUUUAUUUAUAUACAAAAAUUGACUUGAUGACCAGCUCAUCAAUACAAUUGAAUUGUCUAACUGUAAAAGUUACAUAUUUGUCAAGGAUACCCGUUUGUCGAUUUUCCUCAAGACCUCUAAGUUCUAAAGGUAGUUACAGGUGUCUCCCUAAAUUUGUCCAACCGUACCUGUUGGAAUUUUGGAAGUUAUUACACGGAGUACUAAGUAAAGAUGCUUGAGCAAAGAUUGAUUAAUCAAGAUGUUAUAUGUUCCUUCUUAUAAGCUGCAUUCUAGUAAAUAUUCUUCCAGUUUUCAAAACAUGUUAGAAGGAAUUACUUGGUUAAACAUGUUGGGAGGAAUUACUCGGUUUUCUUUUGCUAAUCGUGUUUUUACCCAUUAUCAUAAGAGUAAUAUUCUGUAAUAUUAUGGUAAUCAUAUUACAGUUUCACUAACACAGUAUUGAUCUGUUUAGAUACAUAGACUCGCUUUUCACAAGAUUCAUUUUCUCUUGAUUCCUGAUUAUAUUGGCCAUUGUUCACAUUGAGCGAAGCUUUUCGAUGCAUAGGCUCAAUGGUGGGCUGAGAGAACAUAUAGAACUCUUUCUUCUUACAUUGUAACUUCCAUAGGGGCUGAUAAUAUUCUCUCUUCUCUACGUUUAUUAAGUUUCUGUUAUGUUUAGUUUAAAUUUAAUCCUCCUUUGUUUGCUUUAAUAUAUUUUAGUACAAGAGAGAUACAUUCUUGUCGAGCCAGGUGUAAAAGGAACUUCUGCUGUCUAUUGUUUUAUGCACAUGCUUUAAGAGCUAUUCAUAGUGCAAGUACUGUGGACAAACAUAAUGGUUGUCAUGCUUUAGAUGUUUAAAGUUUGAGUAAUUUUUCCAUCAGAUUCACAUGUAAUUGGAAAAUCAAAUUUUAAUCAGAAGCUUUGACCUGGCACUCAUAUUAUAUGUAAUAUUUGGAAGCAAUGUUCAUUGGGUAAGGGAAAUUUUUUAUUUAAAUAACUAAUCUUGCUUACCCAUUGUGAAUGUGCAAAUGACAGAGAUGAUAGCCUUGUAAAAUUGGUGGGUGGCUAAUGCAAGUGCUUGUUGAACUACUGACAUUUAUCAUGUAGCAAAGAAAUUAUCUAGGUUCCUUAGAAGAUGUAGGACUGCUGAACAUCUAGUCUUUCCUUAGCCAAUAGAAUUGUUGAAAUCUAUUUCCCUUGGGUGGACCAAGAUGAAGUUUUAAAGGAAUCUCCAACUUAUAGCCUAUUGAGUAUUAGCCCCCAUGAAUCUGCACAAGAAUUAGAGAAGACAAUAAUGAAAGUGUGGAACAUGGCAUAUACUUUAUCUUAUGGAAUGAAUUGAGUGAGGAUGAUGCAAGCUCA
Molecule: long non-coding RNA, 1556 nt
Filed under: Olea europaea subsp. europaea
Lineage: Eukaryota; Viridiplantae; Streptophyta; Magnoliopsida; Lamiales; Oleaceae
Source: RNAcentral